RNAcentral lists this transfer RNA (54 nucleotides) under Bunostomum phlebotomum (cattle hookworm). RNAcentral's name for it is "tRNA-Ser". Lineage: Eukaryota; Metazoa; Nematoda; Chromadorea; Rhabditida; Ancylostomatidae. The record is from RNAcentral.
AAUGGAUUUUAUACAAGUCUUCUAAAUUUGUUUUAGGUUUUUACCUAUCCAUUU